This 301-nucleotide ribosomal RNA is filed under the name uncultured bacterium. Its description in RNAcentral is "partial 16S ribosomal RNA". It matches the Rfam family "Bacterial small subunit ribosomal RNA", at positions 509 to 807 of the family's 1533-position model. The record is from RNAcentral.
CAGUAGCCACGGUAAUUCGAAGGGGGCUAGCGUUGUUCGGAUUUACUGGGCGUAAAGGGCGCGUAGGCGGACUGAUAAGUCAGGGGUGAAAUCCCAAGGCUCAACCUUGGAACUGCCUUUGAUACUGUUUGUCUUGAGUUCGAGAGAGGUGAGUGGAACUGCGAGUGUAGAGGUGAAAUUCGUAGAUAUUCGCAAGAACACCAGUGGCGAAGGCGGCUCACUGGCCCGAUACUGACGCUGAGACACGAAAGCGUGAGGAGCAAACAGGAUUAGAUACCCGUGUAGUCCCUGUCUCUUAUAC